GUGUGGCGUGAGCUGCGGGUCUGCAGGGGCCGGGCAGGGUGAGAGGAACCAAGGAUGAGCACCCCCCCCCCCCUUUGCUUGUCACUGCCCAUAUCCAGGCCUGGGAAGGUCCUGCCAGCCAGCGACACCCACACAGAUUACAGACUCCCACACAGAUUACAGACUCCUGGCAUGGCCACAAGAGAGUUCCCCAGUCUCUGCUGGCCUUGGCCUCCCUGGGACACCCGGCAGGCUUCCGAAGAACAACACAAAUUUGUCACCGAGGGUGAUUGAGAAAACUAUCCCGAACUCCUCAAAGCCAGCUGGACCCGGAUUUGAGACGACCUGCCCAGUGCCCACAACACACAUGUUAAGUCUGAUGUGACACACAUGUGCCAGGCCUCAGCCCCUCCUUGCAAGGCACAUGCUGCCACACAGCCAGCCAGCCUCCCCCAGGAGCCUCUGAGUGACGGCAGCCACUUCUCUGAAGCUGUAGCUGAGGCUGAUAUCUGGCUGGGGGUGGGGGAGGAUGUCACAGGACAGCUUGAUGGCUCUCUCCGUGGGGGAGGGGGAGUCAGGAUGAUUUCAACCGUACUUUAAGAGCCUACUUUUGGCUGAAACCUGGGGAUGUCACUCAGGGCCACAGCCCCUGACAUUCUGCCUUAGUCCCUGGGCAAGAAAUCUGGUUGUUGUACAGAAGCUGGUACAAGGAGUGAGAUAAUGAAUCCGAUCUACAUCAUUCCAUGUUAUGUGCAUUAUAUACAUAUAUGUAUUACAUAUACAUAUACUGUCAAGAAAUAA
Molecule: long non-coding RNA, 780 nt
Organism: Homo sapiens (human)
Lineage: Eukaryota; Metazoa; Chordata; Mammalia; Primates; Hominidae
Exons: 3
Source: RefSeq, a predicted model, not a curated record